UGUAGUCUGCAACUCGACUACAUGAAGCUGGAAUCGCUAGUAAUCGCGAAUCAGAAUGUCGCGGUGAAUACGUUCCCGGGUCUUGUACACACCGCCCGUCACACCAUGGGAGUCAGUAACGCCCGAAGUCAGUGACCCAACCAAUCAGGGAGGGAGCUGCCGAAGGUGGGACCGAUAACUGGGGGUGAAGUCGUAACAAGGUAGC
RNAcentral lists this ribosomal RNA (205 nucleotides) under uncultured bacterium. RNAcentral describes it as "partial 16S ribosomal RNA". It matches the Rfam family "Bacterial small subunit ribosomal RNA", at positions 1299 to 1500 of the family's 1533-position model. The record is from RNAcentral.